UGGGGGAUAUUGCACAAUGGGCGAAAGCCUGAUGCAGCGACGCCGCGUGGGGGAUGAAGGCUUUCGGGUUGUAAACCUCUUUCGCUAUCGAACAAGGCCCGCUUAGGGUGGGUUGAGGGUAGGUGGAGAAGAAGCGCCGGCUAACUACGUGCCAGCAGCCGCGGUAAUACGUAGGGCGCGAGCGUUGUCCGGAAUUAUUGGGCGUACAGGGCUUGUAGGCGGCUUGUUGCGCCUGCUGUGAAAACGCGGGGCUUAACUUCGCGCGUGCAGUGGGUACGGGCAGGCUUGAGUGUGGUAGGGGUGACUGGAAUUCCAGGUGUAGCGGUGGAAUGCGCAGAUAUCUGGAGGAACACCGAUGGCGAAGGCAGGUCACUGGGCCAUUACUGACGCUGAGGAGCGAAAGCAUGGGUAGCGAACAGG
RNAcentral lists this ribosomal RNA (420 nucleotides) under bacterium. RNAcentral describes it as "partial 16S ribosomal RNA". It matches the Rfam family "Bacterial small subunit ribosomal RNA", at positions 355 to 776 of the family's 1533-position model. The record is from RNAcentral.